RNAcentral lists this long non-coding RNA (823 nucleotides) under Sorghum bicolor (sorghum). RNAcentral describes it as "long non-coding RNA (SBIC_LNC017977)". Lineage: Eukaryota; Viridiplantae; Streptophyta; Magnoliopsida; Poales; Poaceae. The record is from RNAcentral.
CCUCAUUUUCUUGGAGGAGAGCUUCAUGUUCAUGGUAACCUAAAAUCCACCUGUAAAUUCCAAACAGAUGUUAACCAACAGGCAGCUACUUAGUUCAAUUAUGACAUAUAGUCUGCCAGGCAAUAAAGUAAGGAAGUAGACCAUACUGUUAGUCCCUGGGAUUCCUGCACAGGUAAGCAGUAAGCUUACCAGCACACCCACACACUCACUCACUAUGGCUAGAGGUAGAAGAAGGGGUUGAGCUCAAGCACACACACAUAGCACAAGCACCAGCGCUGGCCAGAGCUCUGCUCUUUGGUUUGUGGCAACUGAACUGAAAAAUACAUUACUAGGGCUGCACUUAUAUACACAAAGGGGUAGGUUUAGUUUGUGUAUGAACUGAAGCUACUGAAGGUGGGCUGCUGUACUGCAGUCAGUCUACUAUCCUAGCUGCAGGAUAAGCCUGCAAUACUUAUUAGCUAAGGACACAAUGGCCUACCAAAAAUCUGUGUCCUCACUACUCCUAGUCAAGUGUUCCCACUACAGCUUGACUGCUGUUCAACCUUUCAAAGCUGGUCUUUAGUUUCACAUUUCUAGUCACCAAGCUGCAGCCUUGACUGAAGAUUGGUCUGCAGUUGCAGACUUCUUUGCAAGUCCAGCAGCAAAUUAUUCAACACAUACACAAUAUUUCGAGUUUCGGAAACUCCACUCUAGACCUCUUUUUUUUUCUAAACCAUGGUUUUGCACAUCUAUAAGUUCUAAAACUAUAGUUUCAAGUACCAUAUUUUUAAGUAUUGAGCAUCCAAACAGGGUCUAGGUAUUCUUAAGUGAUAGGAUGAGAAUU